RNAcentral lists this ribosomal RNA (433 nucleotides) under uncultured bacterium. Its description in RNAcentral is "bacterial SSU rRNA". It matches the Rfam family "Bacterial small subunit ribosomal RNA", at positions 958 to 1392 of the family's 1533-position model. The record is from RNAcentral.
AACGCGAAGAACCUUACCGGGUCUUGACAUCCUCUGACAACCCUAGAGAUAGGGUUUUCCCUUCGGGGACAGAGUGACAGGUGGUGCAUGGUUGUCGUCAGCUCGUGUCGUGAGAUGUUGGGUUAGGUCCCGCAACGAGCGCAACCCUUGAUCUUAGUUGCCAGCAUUUAGUUGGGCACUCUAAGGUGACUGCCGGUGACAAACCGGAGGAAGGUGGGGAUGACGUCAAAUCAUCAUGCCCCUUAUGACCUGGGCUACACACGUGCUACAAUGGACAGAACAAAGGGCUGCGAGACCGCAAGGUUUAGCCAAUCCCACAAAUCUGUUCUCAGUUCGGAUCGCAGUCUGCAACUCGACUGCGUGAAGCUGGAAUCGCUAGUAAUCACGGAUCAGCAUGCCGCGGUGAAUACGUUCCCGGGCCUUGUACACACCG